Molecule: ribosomal RNA, 429 nt
Filed under: Chloroflexota bacterium
Lineage: Bacteria; Bacillati; Chloroflexota
Description: Chloroflexi bacterium partial 16S ribosomal RNA
Rfam family: Bacterial small subunit ribosomal RNA
Source: RNAcentral
UGGGGAAUAUUGCACAAUGGGCGCAAGCCUGAUGCAGCCAUGCCGCGUGUAUGAAGAAGGCCUUCGGGUUGUAAAGUACUUUCAGCGGGGAGGAAGGGAGUAAAGUUAAUACCUUUGCUCAUUGACGUUACCCGCAGAAGAAGCACCGGCUAACUCCGUGCCAGCAGCCGCGGUAAUACGGAGGGUGCAAGCGUUAAUCGGAUUUAUUGGGCGUAAAGCGAGCGCAGGCGGUUUCUUAAGUCUGAUGUGAAAGCCCCCGGCUCAACCGGGGAGGGUCAUUGGAAACUGGGAGACUUGAGUGCAGAAGAGGAGAGGGGAAUUCCAUGUGUAGCGGUGAAAUGCGUAGAUAUAUGGAGGAACACCAGUGGCGAAGGCGGCUCUCUGGUCUGUAACUGACGCUGAGGCUCGAAAGCGUGGGGAGCAAACAGG